Molecule: non-coding RNA, 73 nt
Organism: Paramuricea clavata
Lineage: Eukaryota; Metazoa; Cnidaria; Anthozoa; Malacalcyonacea; Plexauridae
Source: the annotation of a GenBank genome assembly
UCCUCUGCAGCUCAGUUGGUGAGAGCUCUGCCCUGGAAUCACAGGGCCGCAGGUUCGAUUCCUGCCAGAGGAC